RNAcentral lists this ribosomal RNA (484 nucleotides) under uncultured bacterium. Its description in RNAcentral is "bacterial SSU rRNA". It matches the Rfam family "Bacterial small subunit ribosomal RNA", at positions 33 to 507 of the family's 1533-position model. The record is from RNAcentral.
AGACGACGCUGGCGGCGUGGAUUAGGCAUGCAAGUCGAACGGUAUCAUCCUUUCGGGGGUGAGAGAGUGGCGAACUGGUGAGUAACACGUAGGUUAUCUACCUCAAGACGGGACAACCCAGGGAAACUUGGGCUAAUACCGGAUGUGAGCAACUUUAGUUGUUUGAAAGGUGGCGUAAGCUGUCGCUUGGGGAUGAGCCUGCGUCCUAUUAGUUAGUUGGUGAGGUAACGGCUCACCUAGGCAAUGAUAGGUAGGCGGCCUUAACGGGUGGUCGCCCACACUGGGAUUGAGAUACGGCCCAGACUCCUACGGGAGGCAGCAGUCGAGAAUAGUCUACAAUGGUCGGAAGACUGAUAGUGCGACGCCGCGUGAACGAUGAAUCCCUUCGGGGUGUAAAGUUCUUUUAUAUGUGAGCAGUGCUUCUUAUAUUAACAGUAUGGGGAGAGAGAUAUUAGCAUAUGAAUAAGCAACGGCUAACUCCGUG